RNAcentral lists this ribosomal RNA (1558 nucleotides) under human gut metagenome. RNAcentral describes it as "bacterial LSU rRNA". It matches the Rfam family "Bacterial large subunit ribosomal RNA", at positions 1299 to 2925 of the family's 2925-position model. The record is from RNAcentral.
GGAAUGAGUAGCGAGAAUUAUGUGGGAAUCAUAAUGGCCGAAAAUCUAAGGUUUCCUGGGGAAGGUUCGUCCGCCCAGGGUAAGCCGGGAGCUAAGGCGAGGCCGAAAGGCGUAGUCGAUGCACAUACGGUUGAAAUUCCGUAGCCACCGAACCUUAAGUACACUGACACAUAGAGAUAGCGGGACCCGGGCGUUGGUUGACCCGGGCGUAAGGGACCGAACUUUAGUAGGGAAGUCCGCGAUGCUCUGUGGCGAGAAAAGGUGUAUGGUAUGCUAAGGUGCCCGUACCGCAAACCGACACAGGUAGAUGAGGAGAGAAUCCUAAGGCCAACGGGAGAAGGGUUGUUAAGGAACUCGGCAAAAUGACCCCGUAACUUCGGGAUAAGGGGAGCCUCCUACGGGAGGCCGCAGCGAAUAGGCCCAAGCGACUGUUUACCAAAAACACAGGUCUCUGCUAAAUCGAAAGAUGACGUAUAGGGGCUGACGCCUGCCCGGUGCUGGAAGGUUAAGAGGAGAUGUUAGCCGCAAGGCGAAGCAUUGAAUCGAAGCCCCAGUAAACGGCGGCCGUAACUAUAACGGUCCUAAGGUAGCGAAAUUCCUUGUCAGGUAAGUUCUGACCCGCACGAAUGGCGUAACGACUUGGGCGCUGUCUCAACAGCCCACCCGGCGAAAUUGUUGUACUGGUGAAGAAGCCAGUUACCCGCAACUAGACGGAAAGACCCCAUGGAGCUUUACUGCAGCUUAAUACUGGAAAUCGGUAAAUCAUGUACAGGAUAGGUGGGAGACUUGGAAGCCAGGGCGUCAGCUUUGGUGGAGUCACCCUUGGGAUACCACCCUUGAUUUGCUGGUUUUCUAACCUGCGGCCGUGAAUCCGGUCGGGGGACACUGUUAGGUGGGCAGUUUGACUGGGGCGGUCGCCUCCUAAAAGGUAACGGAGGCGCUCAAAGGUUCGUUCAGCACGGACGGAAACCGUGCAGUGAGUGUAAACGCAUAAACGAGCCUAACUGCGAGACCGACGGGUCGAGCAGUAACGAAAGUUGGAGUUAGUGAUCCGGCGGUAUGCAAGUGGAAGUGCCGUCGCUCAACGGAUAAAAGCUACCCUGGGGAUAACAGGCUGAUCUCCCCCAAGAGUCCACAUCGACGGGGAGGUUUGGCACCUCGAUGUCGGCUCAUCACAUCCUGGGGCUGUAGUAGGUCCCAAGGGUUGGGCUGUUCGCCCAUUAAAGUGGUACGCGAGCUGGGUUCAGAACGUCGUGAGACAGUUCGGUCCCUAUCUGUCAUGGGCGUAGGAUAUUUGAGGAGAGCUGUUCCUAGUACGAGAGGACCGGGAUGGACGCACCGCUGGCGCACCAGUUGUCAUGCCAAUGGCACAGCUGGGCAACUAUGUGCGGAUCGGAUAAACGCUGAAAGCAUCUAAGCGUGAAGCCGACUCCAAGAUAAGAUAUCCCAUAGUGUUAAACUAGUAAGACCCCUUGUAGACUACGAGGUUGAUAGGCUGCGUGUGUAAGCACGGUAACGUGUUCAGCUUGGCAGUACUAAUAGGUCGAGGGCUUGACCA